GACGAACGCUGGCGGCGUGCUUAACACAUGCAAGUCGAACGGAAAGGCCCUGCUUUUGUGGGGUGCUCGAGUGGCGAACGGGUGCGUAACACGUGAGUAACCUGACCUUGACUUUGGGAUAACUUCAGGAAACUGGGGCUAAUACCGGAUAGGAGCUCCUGCUGCUUGGUGGGGGUUGGAAAGUUUCGGCGGUUGGGGAUGGACUCGCGGCUUAUCAGCGUGUUGGUGGGGUAGUGGCUUACCAAGGCUUUGACGGGUAGCCGGCCUGAGAGGGUGACCGGCCACAUUGGGACUGAGAUACGGCCCAGACUCCUACGGGAGGCAGCAGUGGGGAAUAUUGCACAAUGGGCGGAAGCCUGAUGCAGCAACGCCGCGUGCGGGAUGACGGCCUUCGGGUUGUAACCCGCGUUCGCCUGUGACGAAGCGUGAGUGACGGUAAUGGGUAAAGAAGCACCGGCUAACUACGUG
Molecule: ribosomal RNA, 468 nt
Filed under: uncultured bacterium
Lineage: Bacteria
Description: partial 16S ribosomal RNA
Rfam family: Bacterial small subunit ribosomal RNA
Source: RNAcentral